This is a long non-coding RNA of Suricata suricatta (meerkat), 504 nucleotides long. RefSeq lists it as uncharacterized. The record is from RefSeq and is a predicted model, not a curated record. Lineage: Eukaryota; Metazoa; Chordata; Mammalia; Carnivora; Herpestidae. The transcript has 4 exons.
CAGGUGAGGCCGUUCCGAGCCGCUGAGGACCAGGGGAAUCCACCGGGGUUCAGGCUGCUGCCCUCGGGGAACGUGAAAACCUGUGGGGCAGAAGCUGGUAAAAUCUGCAGGGGGUCCAUGGCAGCUGUGCUGGCCUGUGGUCCCUUCUUCCGCGGUGAAAACCACUGGAUUUCUCCGUAAAGGAGUUCCCUGUGAGCUAGGAUCCUUCUGCCGUGUGGCUGCUACGGGACAUGGAAUGGAACUCAUCAAAAUAUUGUGUUCUAUAUCUUACAGAUGAACUCUGCUGGGUUAUCCUGAUUACCAUCUUGUCUGUUGUUCCUGGUCUCUGUGAGUAGCCCCUGGGUCAUCCUUUAUCCCUAGCAGGAUGCCGUGCCAGUUGUCCAGCCUGCUUCCUUUCCCUUGCUCUCCCACAUCAGGCUUCUGGAAACUGGAUCUGGACAAGGAACCAACUUGAGACGAAUCCAUAGGACCUCCUUAUAAAGUUUGAGCGUACUAAAAAAUGGC